AGGUGACAUCGCUGGCCGGGCUCCCUCGGCAUCACUCACACGGCAAACUCCGGAAUGCAUUAUUUGGAGUCAUGAAGAUUGUCGCUGAGCUAACAUCUGUGCCAAUCUUCUAUUUUACGUGGGACGCUGCCGCAGCAUGGCUUGAUGAGUGGUGUAUAGGUCCAUGCUGAGAACCCAAACCCGCGAACCCUGGGCCACUGAAGCAGAGCAUGUAAACUUAACCUCUACCCGACCAGGCCAGCCCCUCACCCUCUGUUUUACCCACCUGGUCACCAGAGCCGGCUCAUCCAUCAGACACAGGAGACCCAGGGCCCGUGACACUCUGAGGGACCCACAGAAUGGCUUCAUUUUAAUGUCUCAAAAUCAGGAGAAAAAGAGAAAUAAAAGAACCCCAGUGCAGUCGCGC
RNAcentral lists this long non-coding RNA (406 nucleotides) under Equus asinus (donkey). RNAcentral describes it as "lncRNA (ENSEASG00005027823.1)". Lineage: Eukaryota; Metazoa; Chordata; Mammalia; Perissodactyla; Equidae. The record is from RNAcentral.